AUGGUGACUCAAGCAUUUUCCUGGUCAGCCUGUUCCAAUGCUCGACAAUCCUUUCAGUGAAGAAAUUUUUCCUAUCAUCCAACCUAAACCUCCCUCGCGCAACUUGAGGGUCUUUCCUCUUUGUAGUGGGUUGGUUUCUUGGAUUUUUUUUAGGCCUUCCUUAGCAACGGGGUCAGAAAUCUAAGGAAGUAUUCCAUAUCAUUUCUUUCCGUAACACAACACAUAAAAAGGCGCAGAUAAGAGAGUUCACUCUCUUCUCUCUUCCGGUGGCUGAAGGCAAUAGGUCUCUCCGCAGACGGUCUUUGCUUGUAUAGGCCAGGGCCUGCUGCUCAGACCUGCCGUAAUCUCCGGUCUCUCUGGGAGGUGUGGGGAGUUGGCUGCUGCCUCGUGCAGUUCUACUGCCCCUUUCAGCUGAGCAGCAGGAUGCCAGGCUCAGUGAGGAUUAGUGCUUCCUGUGGACCAUGCACUGGGACCUCAUGAGAAAAAUGUUUGGUAUGAUAACAAAGAAAUUCAUUCUGAUUUUGAAUGAUCAAACCAACUGUGGGUUUCAUCAACAUGAUACACUUCAAUAACAGUCUUUUCCAGGAUAUCAUGAAAUGCCUUGAAUAACAUCAGAAAAUUUCUAGUUCUCCCUCUUGUCUGCUGUUAAUCCUUAUGCUGUUCCCCUGUUCAUCUCCUGGAG
This is a long non-coding RNA of Corapipo altera (White-ruffed manakin), 682 nucleotides long. RefSeq lists it as uncharacterized. The record is from RefSeq and is a predicted model, not a curated record. Lineage: Eukaryota; Metazoa; Chordata; Aves; Passeriformes; Pipridae. The transcript is spliced from 5 exons.